This 67-nucleotide transfer RNA is filed under the name Blattodea sp. MT-2014. RNAcentral describes it as "tRNA-His". Lineage: Eukaryota; Metazoa; Arthropoda; Insecta; Blattodea. The record is from RNAcentral.
ACUUAAAUAGUUUAUUAUUAAAAUUUUGAUUUGUGAUAUCGAAGAUGUAUUUUUUUUACUUUAAGUU